AUUGAACGCUGGCGGCAUGCCUUACACAUGCAAGUCGAACGGCAGCACGGGUGCUUGCACCUGGUGGCGAGUGGCGAACGGGUGAGUAAUACAUCGGAACAUGUCCUGUAGUGGGGGAUAGCCCGGCGAAAGCCGGAUUAAUACCGCAUACGAUCUACGGAUGAAAGCGGGGGACCUUCGGGCCUCGCGCUAUAGGGUUGGCCGAUGGCUGAUUAGCUAGUUGGUGGGGUAAAGGCUUACCAAGGCGACGAUCAGUAGCUGGUCUGAGAGGACGACCAGCCACACUGGGACUGAGACACGGCCCAGACUCCUACGGGAGGCAGCAGUGGGGAAUUUUGGACAAUGGGCGAAAGCCUGAUCCAGCAAUGCCGCGUGUGUGAAGAAGGCCUUCGGGUUGUAAAGCACUUUUGUCCGGAAAGAAAUCCUUGGCUCUAAUACAGUCGGGGGAUGACGGUACCGGAAGAAUAAGCACCGGCUAACUACGUG
RNAcentral lists this ribosomal RNA (486 nucleotides) under uncultured bacterium. Its description in RNAcentral is "partial 16S ribosomal RNA". It matches the Rfam family "Bacterial small subunit ribosomal RNA", at positions 30 to 507 of the family's 1533-position model. The record is from RNAcentral.